GUGGUUUAUGGUUUAAGAACUGAUUUGUCCUCUGUUUACUGUCUGUCACUCUCCCAUAGAAUGCGAGCUGGAUGAGAACAGAGAUUUUCCUUCUACUUUGGUCACUAUCUUCAGGAGAACGUGGUGCCUAGCAUACAGCAGGAGCAAUAAAUGGAUGAAUGAGGAUGCAGGCAGAAAUUGCUGUGGAUAGUUUUCAUCGAUUCAAGACAGAGGCAGCCAUGAAAAGAUACUCAUGAAAGAAGACCUCCAGAACUACUUCAGAAAGUGGCAAGAAUGAUGGGAUAAGUAUGUUCAAAGUGAGGAGAAUAAGUGGUAAUGUGUUUUUUACUAUAACCAAA
RNAcentral lists this long non-coding RNA (338 nucleotides) under Chinchilla lanigera (long-tailed chinchilla). Its description in RNAcentral is "lncRNA (ENSCLAG00000027211.1)". Lineage: Eukaryota; Metazoa; Chordata; Mammalia; Rodentia; Chinchillidae. The record is from RNAcentral.